UAGGGAAUCUUCCGCAAUGGACGCAAGUCUGACGGAGCAACGCCGCGUGAGUGAAGAAGGAUUUCGGUUCGUAAAACUCUGUUGUUAGAGAAGAACAGCGCAUAGAGUAACUGUUAUGCGUGUGACGGUAUCUAACCAGAAAGCCACGGCUAACUACGUGCCAGCAGCCGCGGUAAUACGUAGGUGGCAAGCGUUGUCCGGAUUUAUUGGGCGUAAAGCGAGCGCAGGCGGUCAAUUAAGUCUGAUGUGAAAGCCCCCGGCUCAACCGGGGAGGGUCAUUGGAACCUGGUUGACUUGAGUGCAGAAGAGGAGAGUGGAAUUCCAUGUGUAGCGGUGAAAUGCGUAGAUAUAUGGAGGAACACCAGUGGCGAAGGCGACUCUCUGGUCUGUAACUGACGCGGAGGUUCGAAAGCGUGGGUAGCAAACAGG
RNAcentral lists this ribosomal RNA (429 nucleotides) under Bacteroidota bacterium. RNAcentral's name for it is "Bacteroidetes bacterium partial 16S ribosomal RNA". It matches the Rfam family "Bacterial small subunit ribosomal RNA", at positions 355 to 776 of the family's 1533-position model. Lineage: Bacteria; Pseudomonadati; Bacteroidota. The record is from RNAcentral.